RNAcentral lists this ribosomal RNA (167 nucleotides) under Gongronemopsis latifolia. RNAcentral's name for it is "Gongronema latifolium 5.8S ribosomal RNA". The record is from RNAcentral. Lineage: Eukaryota; Viridiplantae; Streptophyta; Magnoliopsida; Gentianales; Apocynaceae.
UACACGACUCUCGGCWACGGAUAUCUMGGCUCUYGCAUYGAUGAAGAACGUAGCAAACUGCGAUACUUGGUGUGAAUUGCAGAAUCCYGUGAACCAUCGAGUUUUUGAACGCAAGUUGCGCCCGAAGCCAUUAGGCYGAGGGCACGUCUGCCUGGGCGUCACGCAUC